GGGAAGAUCCUGUGGUGAAGGAAAUAGCAACCCACUCCAGUACUCUUGCCUGGAAAACCCCAUGGACGGAGGGGCCCGACAGCCAGUCCAUUCUAAAGGAGAUCAGCCCUGGGUGUUCUUUGGAAGGAAUGAUGCUAAAGCUGAAACUACAGUACUUUGGCCACCUCAUGCGAAGAGUUGACUCAUUGGAAAAGACUCUGAUGCUGGGAGGGAUUGGGGGCAGGAGGAAAAGGGAAUGACAGAGGAUGAGAUGGCUGGAUGGCAUCACCGACUCGAUGGAUGUGAGUUUGAGUGAACUCUGGGAGCUGGUGAUGGACAGGGAGGCCUGACGUGCUGCUGUUCAUGGGGUUGCAAAGAGUCAGACAUGACUGAGUGACUGAACUGAACUGAACUGAACUGAUGGAAAUGAUGUUAGACAAAAAGCAAAUUCAAGAGAUUUUCUUGAGUUCAAAAUUGGACAUAGAGCAGCAGAGACAACUCACAACAUCAACAACACAUUUGGCUCCAGAACUGCUAAUGAACAUAUGGUGCACUGGUGGUUCAAGAAGCUUUGCAAAGGAGACAAGAGCCUUGAAGAUGAGGAGCACAGUGGCCAACCCAUCAUUGAAGCUUAUGCCUUACAACUACAGGAGAAGUUGCCCAAUAACUCAACGUCUACCACUCUACAAUUGUUUGGCAUUUGAAGAAAAUUGGAAAGGAAAAAAGCUCGAUAAGUGGGUGC
Bos taurus (domestic cattle) is the source of this 721-nucleotide long non-coding RNA. Lineage: Eukaryota; Metazoa; Chordata; Mammalia; Artiodactyla; Bovidae. The record is from Ensembl.